GCUAAAGGGUGUUCGGGAGGCUACGCCGUAAAACAACCCCAUUUCUAAGGUUGACCUCGGAUCAGGUAGGGAUACCCGCUGAACUUAAGCAUAUCAAUAAC
This 101-nucleotide ribosomal RNA is filed under the name Cladosporium cladosporioides. RNAcentral's name for it is "partial 28S ribosomal RNA". The record is from RNAcentral. Lineage: Eukaryota; Fungi; Ascomycota; Dothideomycetes; Cladosporiales; Cladosporiaceae.